This 529-nucleotide ribosomal RNA is filed under the name Dunaliella cf. bardawil CHPD2. RNAcentral describes it as "LSU rRNA". It matches the Rfam family "Eukaryotic large subunit ribosomal RNA", at positions 66 to 608 of the family's 3401-position model. Lineage: Eukaryota; Viridiplantae; Chlorophyta; Chlorophyceae; Chlamydomonadales; Dunaliellaceae. The record is from RNAcentral.
UAACAAGGAUUCCCUUAGUAAUGGCGAAUGAAACGGGAAUAGCCCAACUUGAAAAUCUCCCUUUGGAGAAUUGUAGUCUAGAGAAGCGCCCUCUGCGGCGGCCGGAGCCUAAGUCCGUUGGAAAACGGCGUCGGAGAGGGUGAGAACCCCGUCGGCUCUAGGCUUAGCUGCUCCACGAGGUGCUUUCCACGAGUCGGGUUGUUUGGGAAUGCAGCCCAAAAUGGGAGGUACAUCCCUUCUAAGGCUAAAUACUGGCGAGAGACCGAUAGCGAACAAGUACCGUGAGGGAAAGAUGAAAAGAACUUUGAAAAGAGAGUUAAAAAGUGCUUGAAAUUGUUGAGAGGGAAGCGUUUGGAGGUUAUAGGUGCGCCUAGGCUUAUACGGUUCUAACGAGCCGUUGUAUGUGCUAGGUGCUGGUCAACAUGGGUUAGCUUGGCGGGAUAACAACGGGGGUUGAUACCCCGUCUAUGCCGCCGGGUUGAUCAAGGUGUGAAUGGCGCUCUGUCCUUCGGGAGCUGCGUCAUCAAGA